CCUACGGGUGGCAGCAGUCGAGAAUCAUUCACAAUGGGGGAAACCCUGAUGGUGCGACGCCGCGUGGGGGAAUGAAGGUCUUCGGAUUGUAAACCCCUGUCAUGUGGGAGCAAAUUAAGACGAUAGUACCACCAUAGGCAGAGGCUGCUAACUCUGUGCCAGCAGCCGCGGUAAUACAGAGGUCUCAAGCUUUGUUCGGAAUCACUGGGCGUAACGGGUGCGUAGGCUGUUUUGUAAGUCGUGUGGGAAAUGCGCGGGCUCAACCCGCGGACGGCACAUGAUACUGGGAGACUAGAGUAAUGGAGGGGGAACCGGAAUUCUCGGUGUAGCAGUGAAAUGCGUAGAUAUCGAGAGGAACACUCGUGGCGAAGGCGGGUUGCUGGACAGUAACUGACGCUGAGGCACGAAGGCCAGGGGAGCGAAAGGGAUUAGAUACCCGAGUAGUC
RNAcentral lists this ribosomal RNA (446 nucleotides) under uncultured bacterium. RNAcentral describes it as "partial 16S ribosomal RNA". It matches the Rfam family "Bacterial small subunit ribosomal RNA", at positions 338 to 795 of the family's 1533-position model. The record is from RNAcentral.